This 273-nucleotide long non-coding RNA is filed under the name Nicotiana benthamiana. RNAcentral's name for it is "long non-coding RNA (NBEN_LNC001556)". Lineage: Eukaryota; Viridiplantae; Streptophyta; Magnoliopsida; Solanales; Solanaceae. The record is from RNAcentral.
CUUCAACGACCACUUGGAAUAAUCUAUCUGCAACUCCAUUACAUCCACCAGUGAAGCUGCUCCACCAUCACAUUCCUGAAUAACAUGGAGGCGCCCACCCCAAUCGCCAAAAUAACAAAUCUUUCUCCCAUUUUCAGGAACAAUAGUACUAGGCAUUGUCCUAAACCUCUCAUUCUCGACAUCAAACGCUAGAAAAGGCUUGUUCUCGCCAACCCAAUGAAUACAACCUCGCGAAAACACGCCCCUUUUCAACAAGUAAUCAUAUUUAUCAUU